Helicoverpa zea (corn earworm) is the source of this 1149-nucleotide long non-coding RNA. RefSeq lists it as uncharacterized. The record is from RefSeq and is a predicted model, not a curated record. The transcript is spliced from 2 exons. NCBI's taxonomy places the organism in Eukaryota, Metazoa, Arthropoda, Insecta, Lepidoptera, Noctuidae.
UCAUGCCUACUAUUGUACCUGUACUUGAAUAGUUUAUUGAGGACACAGUAUGAGUCAGCAUUAAACGCAUUUUGUUUCAGUUCAGACGUUUUGUUUCUCUUUUGUAAUUAUCAUUAUUUCUUUAUUUAGUAUCUCCACCUGUUAAUGCUUUAGUUAAUACAAAUAGACCUUGUCUACAUAAAUCAUUAACUGCCGUUAGUUAGUGUCCCAUCCAUUGUGUCUCGGAAAUGGGCUGGGGAUUAAAUUAAUAUUAGCGUUGGCGAUAAUCCGUACCCAAACGACCGGAACGAAGGACUUCGUGACCUAAAUAUCAGUCACCUGCGUACCUCAUAAAUAUUCCAUCUCAAAGUAAACCGUAAAGAAAAAUCACAGAUUGCAAAAGACGAGCUUAUUAGCAAUAAUGGUAGGUCUCGAAGGUCGUCCAGUUGCGGCGGAGGCAUUUCUGCAGCUGAUGUAGCUGUUUCGUUUUACUAUGGAGGUCUUGAUAUGUGUAAAGGAGACGCGGUUAGUCGUCGGUCCGCUUCCCCUCUCGCUGAUGUCGAAACCUUCGGUUGCAUGCGCCCGCGCUGGGCGCUGCGCCGUAGCAUUGCCGACGGUGCGCAAACGACGAACGAACAGUUGGACCACAACACACAAGGAAUAGUGCUCUUGUUAAAAAGUGACAGUGAAAUGCGACAAGCACGUGUCGUGAGGUAGCCGGUGACACAACCUGCGCUGACUCCUGACUUCGGUGGCGUUCUUAAGUGCACGCAAUCCGAGAGCGGAGUCUUCGUCCGGGGAACUUGAAACUUUAGCUGUUACGUUUACUUGAUAUUGCAUUAUAAUUAUGUGUUGGCAAACGCCUAGGCCGUACGUCUUAGCGUAGAUAAUGUUGGAACACGUAGCACUCCUCCCGGCCUGGUUUCUCAUGGCGUGGCUGGGAGCCUGCCUUCUCUUCAGCCCUUUCGCAAUAUUCUUCGUAAUGUGCUUACCGCAAUUACCACUUUUAGUCGUAAGAAGGGCAUGCCAUAUACCAUUCGAGUAUAUUUGAACACUGAAUGUGAGAAAUGUGUGUGAUAGUCAUGUAUUUUAGGGUAUGAAUAUUCAUAAGUUUGUAUAAAGUGUAAAUAUUUUAUAAUGAAUACAUUUUUAUUUUAUGAAGCAUCUUUA